GACACGGCCCAAACUCCUACGGGAGGCAGCAGUAGGGAAUCUUCGGCAAUGGACGAAAGUCUGACCGAGCAACGCCGCGUGAGUGAAGAAGGUUUUCGGAUCGUAAAACUCUGUUGUUAGAGAAGAACAAGGAUGAGAGUAACUGUUCAUCCCUUGACGGUAUCUAACCAGAAAGCCACGGCUAACUACGUGCCAGCAGCCGCGGUAAUACGUAGGUGGCAAGCGUUGUCCGGAUUUAUUGGGCGUAAAGCGAGCGCAGGCGGUUUCUUAAGUCUGAUGUGAAAGCCCCCGGCUCAACCGGGGAGGGUCAUUGGAAACUGGGAGACUUGAGUGCAGAAGAGGAGAGUGGAAUUCCAUGUGUAGCGGUGAAAUGCGUAGAUAUAUGGAGGAACACCAGUGGCGAAGGCGGCUCUCUGGUCUGUAACUGACGCUGAGGCUCGAAAGCGUGGGGAGCAAACAGGAUUAGAUACCCUGGUAGUCCACGCCGUAAACGAUGAGUGCUAAGUGUUGGAGGGUUUCCGCCCUUCAGUGCUGCAGCUAACGCAUUAAGCACUCCGCCUGGGGAGUACGACCGCAAGGUUGAAACUCAAAGGAAUUGACGGGGGCCCGCACAAGCGGUGGAGCAUGUGGUUUAAUUCGAAGCAACGCGAAGAACCUUACCAGGUCUUGACAUCCUUUGACCACUCUAGAGAUAGAGCUUCCCCUUCGGGGGCAAAGUGACAGGUGGUGCAUGGUUGUCGUCAGCUCGUGUCGUGAGAUGUUGGGUUAAGUCCCGCAACGAGCGCAACCCUUAUUGUUAGUUGCCAUCAUUCAGUUGGGCACUCUAGCAAGACUGCCGGUGACAAACCGGAGGAAGGUGGGGAUGACGUCAAAUCAUCAUGCCCCUUAUGACCUGGGCUACACACGUGCUACAAUGGGAAGUACAACGAGUUGCGAAGUCGCGAGGCUAAGCUAAUCUCUUAAAGCUUCUCUCAGUUCGGAUUGCAGGCUGCAACUCGCCUGCAUGAAGCCGGAAUCGCUAGUAAUCGCGGAUCAGCACGCCGCGGUGAAUACGUUCCCGGGCCUUGUACACACCGCCCGUCACACCACGAGAGUUUGUAACACCCGAAGUCGGUGAGGUAACCUUUUUGGAGCCAGCCGCCUAAGGUGGGAUAGAUGAUUGGGGUGAAGUCGUAACAAGGUAGCCGUAUCGGAAGGUGCGGCUGGAUCACCUCCUUUCUAAGGAA
RNAcentral lists this ribosomal RNA (1226 nucleotides) under Enterococcus faecium. Its description in RNAcentral is "bacterial SSU rRNA". It matches the Rfam family "Bacterial small subunit ribosomal RNA", at positions 323 to 1533 of the family's 1533-position model. Lineage: Bacteria; Bacillati; Bacillota; Bacilli; Lactobacillales; Enterococcaceae. The record is from RNAcentral.